GGUCCGAGUUUGAAAGAUGGCUUCGGCUAUCACUUUUGGAUGGUCCCGCGGCGUAUUAGCUAGAUGGUGAGGUAACGGCUCACCAUGGCAAUGAUACGUAGCCGACCUGAGAGGGUAAUCGGCCACAUUGGGACUGAGACACGGCCCAAACUCCUACGGGAGGCAGCAGUAGGGAAUCUUCCACAAUGGACGAAAGUCUGAUGGAGCAACGCCGCGUGAGUGAAGAAGGGUUUCGGCUCGUAAAACUCUGUUGUUAAAGAAGAACAUAUCUGAGAGUAACUGUUCAGGUAUUGACGGUAUUUAACCAGAAAGCCACGGCUAACUACGUGCCAGCAGCCGCGGUAAUACGUAGGUGGCAAGCGUUGUCCGGAUUUAUUGGGCGUAAAGCGAGCGCAGGCGGUUUUUUAAGUCUGAUGUGAAAGCCUUCGGCUCAACCGAAGAAGUGCAUCGGAAACUGGGAAACUUGAGUGCAGAAGAGGACAGUGGAACUCCAUGUGUAGCGGUGAAAUGCGUAGAUAUAUGGAAGAACACCAGUGGCGAAGGCGGCUGUCUGGUCUGUAACUGACGCUGAGGCUCGAAAGUAUGGGUAGCAAACAGGAUUAGAUACCCUGGUAGUCCAUACCGUAAACGAUGAAUGCUAAGUGUUGGAGGGUUUCCGCCCUUCAGUGCUGCAGCUAACGCAUUAAGCAUUCCGCCUGGGGAGUAC
RNAcentral lists this ribosomal RNA (706 nucleotides) under Lactiplantibacillus plantarum. RNAcentral describes it as "bacterial SSU rRNA". It matches the Rfam family "Bacterial small subunit ribosomal RNA", at positions 191 to 883 of the family's 1533-position model. Lineage: Bacteria; Bacillati; Bacillota; Bacilli; Lactobacillales; Lactobacillaceae. The record is from RNAcentral.